Molecule: ribosomal RNA, 542 nt
Filed under: uncultured bacterium
Lineage: Bacteria
Description: bacterial SSU rRNA
Rfam family: Bacterial small subunit ribosomal RNA
Source: RNAcentral
AAUAGAUACCCUGGUAGUCCACGCCGUAAACGUUGGGCACUAGGUGUGGGAUCUUUCCAACGGAUUCCGUGCCGUAGCUAACGCAUUAAGUGCCCCGCCUGGGGAGUACGGCCGCAAGGCUAAAACUCAAAGGAAUUGACGGGGGGCCCGCACAAGCGGCGGAGCAUGUUGCUUAAUUCGAGGCAACGCGAAGAACCUUACCUGGGCUUGACAUGCUGGGAAAAGCCACAGAGAUGUGGUGUCCUUCGGGGCCCGAGCACAGGUGGUGCAUGGCUGUCGUCAGCUCGUGUCGUGAGAUGUUGGGUUAAGUCCCGCAACGAGCGCAACCCUUGUCCUAUGUUGCCAGCGGGUAAUGCCGGGGACUCGUAGGAGACUGCCGGGGUCAACUCGGAGGAAGGUGGGGACGACGUCAAGUCAUCAUGCCCCUUAUGUCCAGGGCUGCAAACAUGCUACAAUGGCCGGUACAAAGGGCUGCUAUACCGCGAGGUUGAGCGAAUCCCGAGAAAGCCGGUCUCAGUUCGGAUUGAAGUCUGCAACUCGUA